RNAcentral lists this ribosomal RNA (1241 nucleotides) under Psychrobacter nivimaris. RNAcentral describes it as "bacterial SSU rRNA". It matches the Rfam family "Bacterial small subunit ribosomal RNA", at positions 244 to 1469 of the family's 1533-position model. The record is from RNAcentral. Lineage: Bacteria; Pseudomonadati; Pseudomonadota; Gammaproteobacteria; Moraxellales; Moraxellaceae.
GCCACGGGGGGGGGCUUUCGUUGGCCUGUUUUGGAAGGGCAUGAUUCAGACCAACCCGGGGAAUGAAGAACCCGGCCCCGGAAAUCCUUAAGGGGAGGGCAGCCAGUGGGGAAAUUUUGGACAAUUGGGGGAAACCCCUGAUCCCAGUCCUUGCCGGGGGGGGUGAAAGAAGGCCUUUUUGGUUGUAAAGCCACUUAAGGCAGUGAAGAAGACUUCUUCGGUUUAAUACCCGGAGGACGAUGACAUUAGCUGCAGAAUAAGCCACCGGCUAACUCUGUGCCAGCCGCCGCGGUAAUACAGAGGGUGCAAGCGUUAAUCGGAAUUACUGGGCGUAAAGCGAGCGUAGGUGGCUUGAUAAGUCAGAUGUGAAAUCCCCGGGCUUAACCUGGGAACUGCAUCUGAAACUGUUAGGCUAGAGUAGGUGAGAGGGAAGUAGAAUUUCAGGUGUAGCGGUGAAAUGCGUAGAGAUCUGAAGGAAUACCGAUGGCGAAGGCAGCUUCCUGGCAUCAUACUGACACUGAGGCUCGAAAGCGUGGGUAGCAAACAGGAUUAGAUACCCUGGUAGUCCACGCCGUAAACGAUGUCUACUAGUCGUUGGGUCCCUUGAGGACUUAGUGACGCAGCUAACGCAAUAAGUAGACCGCCUGGGGAGUACGGCCGCAAGGUUAAAACUCAAAUGAAUUGACGGGGGCCCGCACAAGCGGUGGAGCAUGUGGUUUAAUUCGAUGCAACGCGAAGAACCUUACCUGGUCUUGACAUAUCUAGAAUCCUGCAGAGAUGCGGGAGUGCCUUCGGGAAUUAGAAUACAGGUGCUGCAUGGCUGUCGUCAGCUCGUGUCGUGAGAUGUUGGGUUAAGUCCCGCAACGAGCGCAACCCUUGUCCUUAGUUACCAGCGGGUUAAGCCGGGAACUCUAAGGAUACUGCCAGUGACAAACUGGAGGAAGGCGGGGACGACGUCAAGUCAUCAUGGCCCUUACGACCAGGGCUACACACGUGCUACAAUGGUAGGUACAGAGGGCAGCUACACAGCGAUGUGAUGCGAAUCUCAAAAAGCCUAUCGUAGUCCAGAUUGGAGUCUGCAACUCGACUCCAUGAAGUAGGAAUCGCUAGUAAUCGCGGAUCAGAAUGCCGCGGUGAAUACGUUCCCGGGCCUUGUACACACCGCCCGUCACACCAUGGGAGUUGAUUGCACCAGAAGUGGAUAGCUUAACCUUCGGGGAGGCGUUCACCACGGUGUGGUU